UACGAAGGGUGCAAGCGUUACUCGGAAUUACUGGGCGUAAAGCGUGCGUAGGUGGUGAGUUAAGUCUGUCGUGAAAGCCCCGGGCUCAACCUGGGAAUGGCGAUGGAUACUGGCUCGCUAGAGUGCGGUAGAGGAGAGUGGAAUUCCCGGUGUAGCAGUGAAAUGCGUAGAGAUCGGGAGGAACAUCAGUUGCGAAGGCGGCUCUCUGGACCAGCACUGACGCUGAGGCACGAAAGCGUGGGGAGCAAACAGG
Molecule: ribosomal RNA, 253 nt
Filed under: uncultured bacterium
Lineage: Bacteria
Description: partial 16S ribosomal RNA
Rfam family: Bacterial small subunit ribosomal RNA
Source: RNAcentral